Molecule: ribosomal RNA, 598 nt
Filed under: Bacillus pumilus
Lineage: Bacteria; Bacillati; Bacillota; Bacilli; Caryophanales; Bacillaceae
Description: partial 23S ribosomal RNA
Rfam family: Bacterial large subunit ribosomal RNA
Source: RNAcentral
UGGUUGGAAAUCAUUCGCAGAGUGUAAAGGCACAAGGGAGCUUGACUGCGAGACCUACAAGUCGAGCAGGGACGAAAGUCGGGCUUAGUGAUCCGGUGGUUCCGCAUGGAAGGGCCAUCGCUCAACGGAUAAAAGCUACCCCGGGGAUACCAGGCUUAUCUCCCCCAAGAGUCCACAUCGACGGGGAGGUUUGGCACCUCGAUGUCGGCUCAUCGCAUCCUGGGGCUGUAGUCGGUCCCAAGGGUUGGGCUGUUCGCCCAUUAAAGCGGUACGCGAGCUGGGUUCAGAACGUCGUGAGACAGUUCGGUCCCUAUCCGUCGCGGGCGCAGGAAAUUUGAGAGGAGCUGUCCUUAGUACGAGAGGACCGGGAUGGACGCACCGCUGGUGUACCAGUUGUUCUGCCAAGGGCAUCGCUGGGUAGCUAUGUGCGGACGGGAUAAGUGCUGAAAGCAUCUAAGCAUGAAGCCCCCCUCAAGAUGAGAUUUCCCAUUCCGCAAGGAAGUAAGAUCCCUGAAAGAUGAUCAGGUUGAUAGGUCUGAGGUGGAAGCGUGGUGACACGUGGAGCUGACAGAUACUAAUAGAUCGAGGACUUAACCUA